This 235-nucleotide ribosomal RNA is filed under the name uncultured bacterium. Its description in RNAcentral is "partial 16S ribosomal RNA". It matches the Rfam family "Bacterial small subunit ribosomal RNA", at positions 99 to 334 of the family's 1533-position model. The record is from RNAcentral.
CGGACGGGUGAGUAACGCGUGGGUAACCUACCCUGUACACACGGAUAACAUACCGAAAGGUAUGCUAAUACGGGAUAAUAUAUUUGAGAGGCAUCUCUUGAAUAUCAAAGGUGAGCCAGUACAGGAUGGACCCGCGUCUGAUUAGCUAGUUGGUAAGGCAACGGCUUACCAAGGCGACGAUCAGUAGCCGACCUGAGAGGGUGAUCGGCCACAUUGGAACUGAGACACGGUCCAA